UUCACAGAGGAGGAUGAGUUGACAUUUCCUGGGUGGGCGAGAAAGGUGCCUGCCAGGCUUCAAAGGAAUCGGGUCAGGCCUUGACCCACACGCAGAAAAAUCAUCAACGUCAGAUGGAGACAGGCUGAAAUGAUUUUCAGAGGGGAGAAGAUGAUCCAGCACAGCCAGCUCUGCUGGUAGCCUUUAAAAAUGGGGCAAAGUGACAGGCAGCAUGGGGAGGGGGCACCUGACCAUGGAAGAAAGCGAAGACAUGUUUGAAGAAGGAUCCCCAAAGCAUUCAUUCCUUCAGGAAGCUGAGAAAAAGGGUCAUCUAGCCACUGCAGAUCCUGGAUGAUGAGUCAAGGCAACAUCCAUUCAUCCAUCCAUCCAUCAUCCGUCCAUCCAUCCAGAAGGGUUGGAACAUUUUGUUAAUGUUCUCUGUUUAGCGGGGUAUCAUUUCAACUCCUCCAGGAUACUCUCAGCAUUGUAUAAGACUCUUAUCAAAAUA
Chinchilla lanigera (long-tailed chinchilla) is the source of this 487-nucleotide long non-coding RNA. RefSeq lists it as uncharacterized. The transcript is spliced from 2 exons. The record is from RefSeq and is a predicted model, not a curated record. NCBI's taxonomy places the organism in Eukaryota, Metazoa, Chordata, Mammalia, Rodentia, Chinchillidae.